AACCCUCUCAGCCUUUGCUCCUUUACUGUGAGCGGGGUUGGACUUGGACGUCUGCGGGCCGACAAGGCCCGCUCGUCUUUAAAUGCAUUAGCUGGUCCCUAUGGUCAGGUCCAAGCGACGGUGUGAUAACAUAACGUUUAGUGCGCCGUUCGUCGCUGGCCAGGGGGUCGCUUACAGCCGUCUUUGGACAAGCCUUUCAUGUC
This 203-nucleotide unclassified non-coding RNA is filed under the name uncultured Gautieria. Its description in RNAcentral is "sequence contains ITS2". Lineage: Eukaryota; Fungi; Basidiomycota; Agaricomycetes; Gomphales; Gomphaceae. The record is from RNAcentral.